CCUACGGGAGGCAGCAGUGGGGAAUAUUGGGCAAUGGGCGGAACCCUGACCCAGCGACGCCGCGUGAGGGAAGAAGUAUUUCGGGAUGUAAACCUCUAUCAGCAGGGAAGAAAGAAAUGACGGUACCUGACUAAUAAGCCCCGGCUAACUACGUGCCAGCAGCCGCGGUAAUACGUAGGGGGCAAGCGUUAUCCGGCUUUACUGGGUGUAAAGGGAGUGUAGGCGGCAAUGCAAGUCUGAAGUGAAAGUCGAGGGCCCAACCCCCGGACUGCGUUGGAAACUGUAUGGCUGGAGUGCAGGAGAGGUAAGUGGAAUUCCUAGUGUAGCGGUGAAAUGCGUAGAUAUUAGGAGGAACACCAGUGGCGAAGGCGGCUUACUGGACUGUAACUGACGUUGAGGCUCGAAAGCGUGGGGAGCAAACAGGAUUAGAUACCCCAGUAGUC
Molecule: ribosomal RNA, 443 nt
Filed under: uncultured bacterium
Lineage: Bacteria
Description: partial 16S ribosomal RNA
Rfam family: Bacterial small subunit ribosomal RNA
Source: RNAcentral